AUACGGCCAUAUCUCGUUGAAACACAGGUUCUCGUACGACCAGCGAAAUUAAGCAACGUCGAUCCUGAUCUGUAUCUAGUUGGGUGACCACUUUGGAAUACCAGGCGC
This is a non-coding RNA of Acanthosepion pharaonis, 108 nucleotides long. NCBI's taxonomy places the organism in Eukaryota, Metazoa, Mollusca, Cephalopoda, Sepiida, Sepiidae. The record is from the annotation of a GenBank genome assembly.